Molecule: long non-coding RNA, 6960 nt
Organism: Dromaius novaehollandiae (emu)
Lineage: Eukaryota; Metazoa; Chordata; Aves; Casuariiformes; Dromaiidae
Exons: 4
Source: RefSeq, a predicted model, not a curated record
UCUUAGUAAAGUCCAAACUGUCAACGCUGAUGUCGUCUUUCCUCCGUUUGCCUCCGACACAGACUCUCCGGGGCUUAAGAAUCGCUCGUGGUUUGCUGCUCUCUCGGGACGCCUCCAAGAGCCUACCCCUGUUGAGGCAGUGCUGGCAGGGAAAUGCUCUGUGCCCAGGACAGAGCAGAAACACCAGGCACAGUCCGGCCGUCUGCAGGGCAGCGUCCCUCGCCAUUCUCCCGGCAAAGGCCUGCCACCCGCCUGCCGCUGUGCCGUGAGGUUCAUAAUGAUGGGCCCCAUGUACCACGGGCUGCAGAGCAGCGCAGGGCUGGGAUGUGGCCCCGCAGGAGCGAGGGGCCCUCCCUCCGGAGGACUCCAGGAACAGCCGGGGAGCAGUAUCCAUGCAGGCAACGUACCCAUGUACCAACUAAGCAGGAAAAUAUAAUGCACAACGAUGCAUGUAUGAGGUAAGGAGGGUUUUUCUGUUACACAUAUAAAAGAAUAAAAAUUGUAACUGAAUAUAGAAAGUGUCUGCUCAGUAUUUCUACACUAUUUGCCCUGCACAGCACUGUUACAAGUGCCUGCCCAAGCAUCCUCACAAUCAAGGCUGGCUCAAGAAGCUAAAGAAAACAAAAAAAGUCUCCCUGCCAAUUAGGUCCCUCACACUGGGUCACUGUAGCUCAAAUUCUUAUCCAUUGGUUUUCAUUGGUUUUUCUUUACAAGGAGGAGAAACUCACUCUUACCAAAUGUAAAAACAAAGAAGGGAAAAAAAUCCAGUGCAGUCCAAUCCUACUUUUAUUAUAUUGACUUUUCUUUAUUCCCUCCCUAGUUGCCGCUCUGGUCUCUUUUUCUAUUCCCUCCCUAUCCAGUUUUGUGCUUUUGUCUUUACCAUACUUUCUAGUUAACUUUUCUUUUCUUUUCUUCCUUCCCUUUUCCAUUUCCAUCUAGGCUGCUCUGUGAGUUUUAAAAAUACUAUUUUUGCUUCUCUCUCCCUCUUCUGCUAGCUAAGUAGUGUCCCUAGCUUUGCUCUCUUUUGCUUUACUUUGUCUUGUCCAUUCUUCUGUUCUUUUCUUCUCUUCCUCUUACCCUUCAUUUUUGAGGUCUUACUGCUCAUCCUUUUCUACCAUCUCCCUCGGUCACCACUCCUGCUUACUCUCAUGGACAACUUGCUCAGCCCUCAAGGACUUCAGGCUUCUCUCCUUGCCUUCCCCUUUGGGCUGAAGGCUGGAUAAAUGCUGCUGGACAAAUGAGCUGAUGGGCAGAUGUCCUCUUGCAUCACAUAUAGAUGACUGGUUCCUGUGCUCUUGAAUCUGACAGGGAUUUGGUAAUACAGGUUGUGGCCCCAGAGAUGUCCAGCUGUUGCGAGAUCUGUAUGGCUUGGUCAGUCACAUAAAGCCUACCAGCUUACCACAGGGUGCAGGGAGGGAAAUGCACUGCAGGCUGUCUGUUUUGCAGGAACUUUUACUCUUGCCAAGGGCUGUAAAAGGGGCUUUUGCAUGCAGUCAUGUGCGUAAUCUGCUUCUGAGAUGGGCAAUCACGACACAGCGCUCAAUGACCUUUCUGCAAAUCCUCUGGAACUAGAGCGCAGUGCAGCAGCAGAGGUGGUUUCCGAAUCAAGAGAACAUUAACUGCUUCUUCUGUACAGGACCUGCAUUCAGGGCUCUAUGCCUUGCUUGUCAGGUAGCCAGCAGUAUUUCAGGUAAACUAAACUUUUCUACCAAAUUUCAAUCUCUAAAGUUCUCUGGCACAAAGGAUUCAAGAAGAAAGAGUUCUUCCUAUUUACAUUGUAGGAAUGACACUCAAAAGUAGAACAGCACAUGUUUACCCAUGAAUAACAGUUUAAUGGUGCAGCUACUGGUGUCAUGAAAAUGAAUGUUUAAUUUAAGGCCAGAGUUUUACAUCUGUGUAGGAAUAGGUAAGGAGAUAGUUACACAUCUCCUGGGGGGGCUACAAAAGCACCCUAACAACUACUGAUGCCUUCAGCAUCUUUAAGCUUCUUCAUACCUUAAAACAUCUGGCUCUGAAUAGUUUGUUUUUUGGCCAUGACUCUCUGCUAAAUGAAAUGCUUGUGCAGUAUCUGAGCAAUGAAAUGCUUUGUGGCUUUCUCCUCUGUAAAGUCCUACUUCUGUAGGAGGGUCAACAAACUUCCUAUUUCAUCAACCCCAAGGCCAUCGGACUAGGACUUUAUCAUUUGUACAGAACUGCAGUGAUAUUUUCUUCCACCAUAGUAUUUAGGUAUUGAGAUUUCAUCAAGCCUGUUAGUAAGGCUUGGUAUCACUCCAUCUUUCUCAUAUGUCUGCCAUUCCCACAUUUUGUUCUGGUUUCUUUAUUGCAAGAGAAGCUCUUAAAUCUGUUGUCCCUGUUGCAGCUACCCUUGCAUAUGAACAGUUCAUAAAGAAUUGCUCGAGGCAGCCGUCAGGAUUUGCCUUGAAGCUAUGGGGAUAUCAUCUGCAAUUAAGGCCUGGUCAAAAACCAAACUACUUGCUCUGCACUGGCUUUUUUUUGUGUAUAAUACUUCUAAAACUAGUUUUGGACUAACUUGGGCCUAGAUUGUUCCUCCUAGCUGCACAGAAAAUUUUCUUCAGCUGCACAUUUCUAUUGUCCAGAAAAUCCAGCUUUUGUCACAGUUUCCCCUUUCACAGUUGCUGAGGAGCCCAUGGAAGCCCCAGGAUGGAUGGUGGGAGAACAGCUGGGCAGGCUUCAAGAACCAGCACACUCCACGCUUAAGGAUGAUAGAAAAACUAAACCAGCCCUGCUAACCUGCCCCCCCCCCCACCCCCCAAUUGCAAAUGUAGCAGCAGAUCCGAAUUCGCUGAAGCAACAAAGAAGUGACACUGAAUCCAGGCAGGUGGGAGGGGAGGAGAUUCUCAGAGCAUCUUCUAUCAGCCCCAUCUCCAGAUUUUAUCAUGACAUGCUGCAAAGGUGUCCCUUGUAGGCACCCAGCACGAAAAGAGACAAUUUCUUUGAUCUGACACCAUUCCCCCAGUUAUAUGCCAAGUCCUAAAUUUGGAAGAUUUCAAUACCAUGUGUACCAGUGUAGAUCAACAUAUUUGCAGUCUUCUGGGACCAACAUGCAUGGCCCAAAAGAGCCAGCUGACCUUAUGAGAAGCAAGGCUUGGUUCCACAAAAAUAUUUCAAAAAUCUUAUUCCUGGGCAAUGACCUUUUUUUUUAGGACAAAGGGGAAGGAGGAAGCACUGUUGCAAGCAAGUUUCCUUUCACUGUUACACUGCUUAAUUCAUUAAUGGGGCGGGCCACUUAUAAUGGGGAAUUUUACUUUAUUCUGCGCCACGUGAAGCAAGUGCCUCCCCAUCAUAAAGGCCACACUUUAAACCUCGGGGGGAGUGUGCUGACACUUGAGACACCAGAUCAGGGUCGUGGCACUUAGGUACAGGUGGCUGCAAUAGGACUGGAAAGGAGAAGAGGGGGAUCCCCACGUCCUUCCAAGCUACUAUUUGAGAUGAUGGGCCUUGAUAACAAAAUGAUGUCUUCUAGCUCUCCAGUACAGAGCAUGCUGCCAGACAGGCAUCAACUGUUAACAUUUUGUUCACUGGGACCUGCCAAUUCUGCCUGAUUAGACUGAAGGCUGACGGAUGCUCACCGGCAUGAAUGACAGUUCAAUAGGAAAGGACUAACUGAACAGUUGUAUGUGACUUCACUCAUCAGCUUACAGCCUAUCACUUAUCAUGAUGGGCUCGUAUUCAGAAGUCUCCUUAGAAGGGUUUCCCUACACCCAUUUAGUUGGAAUCUUUAUUAAAAAGAAUAGUAGUUAAGGUAUUCACUACCAUGUAGAAUGUACUAGACUAAUUUUUUUCUUUUGCUGGUGUUGCCUGUAAUUCACAGACAAACAGCUCCAGAAGUGUUAAUUUUUGUCAUAAAGCUGAAAUAAUAAAAGGGCUAUGGUUGACAGUGGGAAGAAGAAAGUAUCCUGCAGAUCAUUAUUAAUAGAUUUUACUGUAGAGCUGAAUGAAAGAAUUAAAUAAAAUUAGUAUAUAUCUACAUAGCCAUGUAAGCAUGAUGCAUAUAUAAUAUAGAUGGCAUGAUUUCAGUGUAAUAUACUCAACUACAGAUAAAAUGCGCUCAUCUGGUUGAAUUACUUUAAGACCUCUGCUUGACUUCCUCCCCUGACCACUCUUUUUGCCCAAGUACUGAAUGAUUAAUGUGUCCUUCAGCAAAUGAGAUCAGGUCUGUCUGAUUGUAUUAGUUCCUCUUCAUUGGAGUAACUGAGCAUCAAUCAUGUUCUAAUCAGAGCUCAUAUACAUUGAUUUUUUUUUUCUUUUUUUUUUUUUUUGUAAACAGCCUCACCAUCAGGGUCUAUCAUUAUCCUGGAUUAGCUCCUUAAUAAUGACAAAAAUAAUUGAUUUUAAAAAAAUAUUUUCACCUAAAUAAUAAACAUGCUUUUAUUUUUAACGGAACAAUCCUGUCACUUUAACUUGUCAUUUUAGUUUUAAAGUCUGCAAAGGAUAAAAAGUAAAAGUUUAGAAUGGCAAUUAUUACUACUAUGCAUAUGUAUUAAUACUACAAAUAUUAUAUUACACAGUCUCUUAAGAGUACCAUUACUAAUAGGCAUUGCUUACCUUUUACAGUAGUUUUUUAAAAAAAAAUUACAUACCAUAAAGAAUGAAAUUAAAAGUGACCGUAAUAUUCAAAUGAACUGUUUUUAAGAGUUACUGGUACCUCUAUAUAACUUAAACUAUGAUCCACCAAAAAAGUCAUUGUAGUAUAUAGCAAAACAAUAAAAUACUUGUCAUACACAGAAGCAAGAAGCUCAGAAGAGUGAGUCUUUCCUCUCCUUAAAAGAUGAACAUCUGUGCUGAUACAUUCAACUUGUAAAAAGAAACAACUAAAUUAAAGCUGACUGUUAUCUUUUGUCCAAUGUUGCCAGCUACUCUACUCAAUAGUUUCUUAAAAUUGAGAGCAGUGUAUUGUGUUUAGUGAUGGAAUUGGUAAUUGUGCAAGACUAACAACCCGUCAAUGUUGAGGCAGUAAAAUCAAUUAAGCCCGUACAAUGGUAUGCAUCCACUUAAUGAUUACUCACUACAUUGAUCUUUCUGAUCUGCCAAGUAGGAACUAAAAUAUUACACUCACUCAGUAUCACCCUGAUAUUGAAUAAUACUAUUCAGAUAGUGGGCUCACUUCACUAAUGAGGAUGGUAGCACUUCAUUCAGCAAUGGGAGAAAGACUCUGGGCAUGUGAACCACAUGGCAGCCCGUCCUGUACAAUGCACUGGGAAUUCCUGCUAAGGAUGAACAAAAAUGGUUUGUAAUGAUCUGAAACCCCCUGAAUCUUUGUGGGAGUUUCAAAAUAUCUGAUUAAUUUCUCUUUGCUUGUAUGAUUCUUCAGUGCUAGAUUUGGGCAGGGAUCAGCACCAGCGUAUUUCCAGGAAAGGCUUUUAUGUGUUUCCAAUAGGACUAAAUCAAGCAGUGCUCAGUCUCCUGAGACAGCUCUCUGCUAAAAACAUCUAUUCAUACACAGGAUUAGAAAGUUUAGAGAAACACCUCAAAACCUAGAUAUUCCUCUAAAACUGCUAUGAGUCAUUCCCACUUUUGACCAUAUUGAAACUACUGUCACGACAGCUCAUCUGCUCAUUCCUACGUGGUAGCCCUAACAAUCUGGGAAGGAUUUUGCCCAGUGUGGUCCACCUACGUCAUUUUAAAUGGCCAGAGCCUGUAUCAGAGAGAGACUAUACCCAGUGCUGAGUUAAUCCUCGUCAGCAAACACAUUACCCUGGCAUGCAAUAGUAGCUUAUGGAAAUGGCUUUAGAAUCUCAGUUGUCUGACUCAUCUAAAUACAAAGACUGGAUGAAUCACUUCUACGUGGACAGGAUGGCCUUCCUGCUCCCAGUUUCCAUUAUUCUUUAAGGAAGUCCAUAAACUGGACUACUCAGUAUCUUUGUGAAAGAACUGAAGUAUAACUCUUACAGAUCAGAGAUCAUGGAAGGAUAUAACUUCUUCUGAAUGUUAUUAAAGGAAAAAGUCUGAGUUCUUAGUAAAGAGAGAAGCUCUCCACUGGGAAGGUAAGGCACUACACUUUAUCUGUAUUUGUGGAAUACAGGACUGAAAGACACCCUGUUCUGCACUACUGAGUUCAGUCGCUUGGCAUUUCAAGCAAUGUCUUGUAUAAUUUCUUUUCUGAAAAAAACCCCAAAUUUUCUGAGCACCAGCCUCAAAACAGGUGGGCUUUUUACAGCUCCAUUAUUUGGGGCUGGAAGACUGCUCCAUGCUGCUGCUCCAACAGGUACAAACUGCCUCUCAUUCCUAGCCAAGUUCUAGUUUCCAGCCAAGUUGUCACUUGGUACCUAUAUUUGCUCUUUUGCCAUUAUCACCAGCAUUUAGCUUAGCUAGAUCCUCUUCCUGCCUACAUACACCUCCUUGAUGUACUUAUUAGAAGCAAGUAGAAUCAUGGCUUCUCUUCUGCUAGGCUGAUCAAAAUAAACUCUUCCAGUCUCCUCUCUGUAGAGCAUCUGUCCAUUUGUCCAAUCAGUUCAUUCACCUUCAGUGCACCUGUGUUUCAUCUGCCUUGAAGAUGAGAGACCAGAAACGUGUGACAGUAGUCCAGAGGUCUUUCAGUAGGGCUGUAAUAUAAUGUCACCACUACUCUUCUCUCUGCUGGACAUCCCAGUCUUGCCCAUUCAAGAUCAUAUUUGCCCUUUUCCUAGCUGCAGCACACUGCAUUUCAUACUCCUUCCCUAGUUCGGGUGGACAGGCCUGCCUCAAGUGCAAUGAGCCGGACUGUUUUCCUCUUUCCCGAAUGAGAGGCUACGUGAGCUGAAGGCACAGUUCCAGGCUCCCAGCGAGCGCCAAACUGACCGGCAGCAUUUGCCUGUUGGCUAUCAGCUCCUGCUGAGCCAGGAGUCACUGUGUGCCAUUCAAAACUGGCUCAGGUGCUCUCUUUCACAUUCGUUCUCUAGAUUGCUAAUCCCCUUCACAGUCACCUAGUGUAUCAUGUCCUUAUGGGUUGUUUCCAACUGA